AGGGCCCGUAGCUCAGCUUGGUAGAGCGGCGGGCUUUUAACCCGUAGGUCCCGGGUUCAAAUCCCGGCGGGCCC
Molecule: transfer RNA, 74 nt
Filed under: Thermogladius calderae 1633
Lineage: Archaea; Thermoproteati; Thermoproteota; Thermoprotei; Desulfurococcales; Desulfurococcaceae
Description: tRNA-Lys
Rfam family: tRNA
About the family: Transfer RNA (tRNA) molecules are approximately 80 nucleotides in length.
Source: RNAcentral